GAUUGAACGCUGGCGGCAGGCCUAACACAUGCAAGUCGAACGGUAACAGGAAGCAGCUUGCUGCUUCGCUGACGAGUGGCGGACGGGUGAGUAAUGUCUGGGAAACUGCCUGAUGGAGGGGGAUAACUACUGGAAACGGUGGCUAAUACCGCAUAACGUCGCAAGACCAAAGAGGGGGACCUUCGGGCCUCUUGCCAUCAGAUGUGCCCAGAUGGGAUUAGCUUGUUGGUGAGGUAACGGCUCACCAAGGCGACGAUCCCUAGCUGGUCUGAGAGGAUGACCAGCCACACUGGAACUGAGACACGGUCCAGACUCCUACGGGAGGCAGCAGUGGGGAAUAUUGCACAAUGGGCGCAAGCCUGAUGCAGCCAUGCCGCGUGUAUGAAGAAGGCCUUCGGGUUGUAAAGUACUUUCAGCGGGGAGGAAGGUGUUGUGGUUAAUAACCGCAGCAAUUGACGUUACCCGCAGAAGAAGCACCGGCUAACUCCGUGCCAGCAGCCGCGGUAAUACGGAGGGUGCAAGCGUUAAUCGGAAUUACUGGGCGUAAAGCGCACGCAGGCGGUCUGUCAAGUCGGAUGUGAAAUCCCCGGGCUCAACCUGGGAACUGCAUUCGAAACUGGCAGGCUUGAGUCUUGUAGAGGGGGGUAGAAUUCCAGGUGUAGCGGUGAAAUGCGUAGAGAUCUGGAGGAAUACCGGUGGCGAAGGCGGCCCCCUGGACAAAGACUGACGCUCAGGUGCGAAAGCGUGGGGAGCAAACAAGAUUAGAUACCCUGGUAGUCCACGCCGUAAACGAUGUCUACUUGGAGGUUGUGCCCUUGAGGCGUGGCUUCCGGAGCUAACGCGUUAAGUAGACCGCCUGGGGAGUACGGCCGCAAGGUUAAAACUCAAAUGAAUUGACGGGGGCCCGCACAAGCGGUGGAGCAUGUGGUUUAAUUCGAUGCAACGCGAAGAACCUUACCUGGUCUUGACAUCCACAGAAGAAUCCAGAGAUGGAUUUGUGCCUUCGGGAACUGUGAGACAGGUGCUGCAUGGCUGUCGUCAGCUCGUGUUGUGAAAUGUUGGGUUAAGUCCCGCAACGAGCGCAACCCUUAUCCUUUGUUGCCAGCGAUUAGGUCGGGAACUCAAAGGAGACUGCCAGUGAUAAACUGGAGGAAGGUGGGGAUGACGUCAAGUCAUCAUGGCCCUUACGACCAGGGCUACACACGUGCUACAAUGGCGCAUACAAAGAGAAGCGACCUCGCGAGAGCAAGCGGAACUCAUAAAGUGCGUCGUAGUCCGGAUUGGAGUCUGCAACUCGACUCCAUGAAGUCGGAAUCGCUAGUAAUCGUGGAUCAGAAUGCCACGGUGAAUACGUUCCCGGGCCUUGUACACACCGCCCGUCACACCAUGGGAGUGGGUUGCAAAAGAAGUAGGUAGCUUAACCUUCGGGUGGGCGCUUACCACUUUGUGAU
Molecule: ribosomal RNA, 1451 nt
Filed under: uncultured bacterium
Lineage: Bacteria
Description: bacterial SSU rRNA
Rfam family: Bacterial small subunit ribosomal RNA
Source: RNAcentral